ACCUGGCUGGCUCAGUCGGCAGAGCGUGUGACUUUUGAUCUCGGGGUGAUGAGUUGGAGCCCUGUGCUGGGUA
This 73-nucleotide transfer RNA is filed under the name Felis catus (domestic cat). It matches the Rfam family "tRNA". Rfam says of the family: Transfer RNA (tRNA) molecules are approximately 80 nucleotides in length. Their secondary structure includes four short double-helical elements and three loops (D, anti-codon, and T loops). The record is from Rfam by way of RNAcentral. Lineage: Eukaryota; Metazoa; Chordata; Mammalia; Carnivora; Felidae.